RNAcentral lists this long non-coding RNA (576 nucleotides) under Mus musculus (house mouse). RNAcentral's name for it is "predicted gene, 33680". The record is from RNAcentral. Lineage: Eukaryota; Metazoa; Chordata; Mammalia; Rodentia; Muridae.
GCAGCCUCUUGCCAGUGUCUCCUCACAACAAUGAAAAGCAGUGUGAGUGGAGCCUACUAAGUCCCUUGGCCAACAGGGAAGCCAUUUCAGAGCCAGUUUCCCAGAUUCCUUCCGGGAUGUGUCUAUAACCCACGCUGUGAGUUCUGAGGAAAGAGACUACUGAAGACAAAUCCAGGAGAGAAUCCUUCAGGACAUUUGCAGCGUUCAGAUGGGAUUCCCUUUUUCCAUCAAGGGUGGAUUUACUUGCAUAUGAUGCACCUUGUGGCUUUCUGCAGAUUAUACCUCAUCAUGGUGGCAGUGACUGCUUCUGGCUCCCUAAUUCCGCAGUUUCCACAGGCUAAGGCUACUGAGGAAAAAGGACUUGGCUUCCACCUGGGUCCUUACAGAAUACUGUUUCACACCUUCAUGGCCAUGCCUAUUACAUUGUUCAUUCCUCGUGUGUUUACAGUCUCCUCAACAUGGUGGGCACCAAAACAAAAUGUUGUAACUUCACUUCUGUGUAUGAUCCGAAGGAUACAAAGCACUUCAAGCUUUUACAUCAGGCUUUUACUUUUAAAUCACCAGAGGAGGAAAUAA